GUCAUACUACGGUGCAUCAAGGGAUAAAGUAAACGAUGACCCUUAAGGAACUCUAGGCUAAAAUGCGUAUCAAAAUGCAAAAUCGACGCUGACUUGGAGCAAACCUCCGAGCUCGGUUUCUUUU
This is a regulatory RNA element of Serratia fonticola, 124 nucleotides long. It matches the Rfam family "Enterobacteria greA leader". The record is from Rfam. NCBI's taxonomy places the organism in Bacteria, Pseudomonadati, Pseudomonadota, Gammaproteobacteria, Enterobacterales, Yersiniaceae.